Molecule: ribosomal RNA, 350 nt
Filed under: uncultured Alistipes sp.
Lineage: Bacteria; Pseudomonadati; Bacteroidota; Bacteroidia; Bacteroidales; Rikenellaceae
Description: bacterial SSU rRNA
Rfam family: Bacterial small subunit ribosomal RNA
Source: RNAcentral
GUAGUCCACGCAGUAAACGAUGAUAACUCGUUGUCGGCGAUACACAGUCGGUGACUAAGCGAAAGCGAUAAGUUAUCCACCUGGGGAGUACGUUCGCAAGAAUGAAACUCAAAGGAAUUGACGGGGGCCCGCACAAGCGGAGGAACAUGUGGUUUAAUUCGAUGAUACGCGAGGAACCUUACCCGGGCUUGAAAGUUACUGACGAUUCUGGAAACAGGAUUUCCCUUCGGGGCAGGAAACUAGGUGCUGCAUGGUUGUCGUCAGCUCGUGCCGUGAGGUGUCGGGUUAAGUCCCAUAACGAGCGCAACCCCUACCGUUAGUUGCCAUCAGGUCAAGCUGGGCACUCUGGC